Molecule: long non-coding RNA, 660 nt
Organism: Salvia miltiorrhiza (redroot sage)
Lineage: Eukaryota; Viridiplantae; Streptophyta; Magnoliopsida; Lamiales; Lamiaceae
Exons: 2
Source: RefSeq, a predicted model, not a curated record
AUCAUUUUUUUGAUCAAAUCUUGUAAUAAAAUGGGCAGCCCACUAGAACUUGCCUAGUUUGGUGGAGACCCCAUCAACAAAUUAAAUUUCCUCACCAAAUAAUUAAAUUUCCAACUAUAUAUAUGGAAUGAAAGUCCAUGUACAAAAACCAAAAUCUUCCAACUUCAACAAUUAACCGAUUGAUCGCUCAACAGGUUGCGAAACCUAGCUCUUAACGAUCAAGAAAUCUAGUGAUAUAUAGAAAAGAUGGGUGGUAUGAGGUUGGGUGUGUUGGUGAUGGUGGUGGUAUUGGUGAUGAGCAGUUGCACGGCGGAGGGAAGGAGAGUGGCGGCGGGAGAAAAGGCGGCGGCGGAUGAGCAGAAGGUAGUAAAUGAUGAUGGAGUUGCAAGUACCUUAGAUAACCACCACGCUUGCUCCAUGGCCGACUUCAGCAAGGGUACCUGUGAUCCUGCCUGAUCACAAAAUGAUGAGAGAGAGAGAUAGUCAGUGUGUAUACAAUUAAGUUGCUUUUUUUUAAAAAAUAAUACUAAUAAUUAAAUAAAAGAAAUAAGCUGAGUUUGUUUCUAAUGAGCUACGGCCUAUGGCAGAUAUGUGUGUAUGUACAAAAUACUAUGAUAUGCUCAUAUGGUGGCAACAUAUAUAAGGGACUAUUGUUGUUUA